Molecule: ribosomal RNA, 418 nt
Filed under: Eurystylus luteus
Lineage: Eukaryota; Metazoa; Arthropoda; Insecta; Hemiptera; Miridae
Description: partial 16S ribosomal RNA
Rfam family: Bacterial large subunit ribosomal RNA (bases 292-418)
Source: RNAcentral
GUCUUUUAAUUAAGGGCUGGAAUGAAUGGUUGGAUGAAAAAUAUACUUUCUUUAUUUUAUAAGGAAAACUUGAUUUUUUAGUUAAAAAGCUAAAAUUUUUUUAUAGGACGAGAAGACCCUAUAGAACUUUACUAUUAAAAUUAAAUAAUUUUUUUAUUUUAUUAAAAGGUUUUUUAUUAAAAAUAGUUUUGUUGGGGUGACAAAAAAAAUAUUAUAACUUUUUUUAUUUAUAUCAUUUAUUUAUGUUUUUUUGAUCCUUUAUUAUGGAAAAUAAGACUAAGUUACCUUAGGGAUAACAGCGUUAUUUUUUUGGAGAGUUCUUAUCGAUAAAAAAGUUUGCGACCUCGAUGUUGGAUUAAAAUUAAUUAUAGGAGCAUAAUAUUAUAAAUUAGGUCUGUUCGACCUUUAAAUUUUUACA